UACGGAGGGUGCGAGCGUUAUCCGGAAUCACUGGGUUUAAAGGGUAUGUAGGCGGCCUGAUAAGUCAGAGGUGAAAGCUUCGCGCUUAACGAGAGAACUGCCUUUGAUACUGUUGAGCUUGAAAGUAGCUGAGGAUGGCAGAAUGUGCGAUGUAGCGGUGAAAUGCAUAGAUAUCGCAAAGAACACCGGUUGCGAAGGCAGCUGGCUAACCUGACUUUGACGCUGAGGCACGAAAGCGUGGGUAGCGAACAGG
RNAcentral lists this ribosomal RNA (253 nucleotides) under uncultured bacterium. RNAcentral describes it as "partial 16S ribosomal RNA". It matches the Rfam family "Bacterial small subunit ribosomal RNA", at positions 524 to 776 of the family's 1533-position model. The record is from RNAcentral.